UACGUAGGGACCGAGCGUUGUCCGGAAUCAUUGGGCGUAAAGAGCGUGUAGGCGGCCUUUUAAGUCCUGCGUGAAAUCCUGCGGCUCAACCGCAGACGGUCGUGGGAAACUGGAAGGCUAGAGUGCGGGAGAGGAGAGUGGAAUUCCCGGUGUAGCGGUGAAAUGCGCAGAUAUCGGGAAGAACACCCGUGGCGAAGGCGACUACCUGGCCUGUUCUUGACGCUGAGGCGCGAAAGCUAGGGGAGCAAACGGG
Molecule: ribosomal RNA, 253 nt
Filed under: uncultured bacterium
Lineage: Bacteria
Description: partial 16S ribosomal RNA
Rfam family: Bacterial small subunit ribosomal RNA
Source: RNAcentral